Molecule: non-coding RNA, 45 nt
Organism: Schistosoma haematobium
Lineage: Eukaryota; Metazoa; Platyhelminthes; Trematoda; Strigeidida; Schistosomatidae
Source: Rfam
AUCCAACUGACGAGUCCCCGAUAGGACGAAACGAGCGUGUUGGAU